CCGUGACCAUCGGGUGGGCGAUCGAUGUUUGCGCAGGCAACCUGCGCCAACACAUACCUAGCAUGCGCCACUGCCCCUUGGUCCACCCUUCAACUUUGAGGACAUUCCUUAAUUUCCCAGUCCGUUGGCUGAUUUGCUUUUUGGUCCCAAUAAGUACGUUAAGCUAUAGCCACAGUCCCCACUCCAAAAAUCUAUUCACUCCUCCUACUUCUUCAACUAAAAAUGCUAAAGAUAUGA
This 237-nucleotide unclassified non-coding RNA is filed under the name Hevea brasiliensis (rubber tree). The record is from RNAcentral. Lineage: Eukaryota; Viridiplantae; Streptophyta; Magnoliopsida; Malpighiales; Euphorbiaceae.